RNAcentral lists this ribosomal RNA (251 nucleotides) under uncultured prokaryote. RNAcentral describes it as "partial 16S rRNA". It matches the Rfam family "Bacterial small subunit ribosomal RNA", at positions 525 to 775 of the family's 1533-position model. The record is from RNAcentral.
ACGGAGGGUGCAAGCGUUGUUCGGAAUUAUUGGGCGUAAAGAGCGUGUAGGCGGCCGGGUAAGUCAGAUGUGAAAUCCCUUGGCUCAACCAAGGAAGUGCAUUUGAAACUGUCCGGCUUGAGUACGAGAGGGGGAAGUGGAAUUCCCGGUGUAGAGGUGAAAUUCGUAGAUAUCGGGAGGAGCAGCGGUGGCGAAGGCGGCUUCCUGGAUCGAUACUGACGCUGAGACGCGAAAGCGUGGGGAGCAAACAG